RNAcentral lists this ribosomal RNA (301 nucleotides) under uncultured bacterium. Its description in RNAcentral is "partial 16S ribosomal RNA". It matches the Rfam family "Bacterial small subunit ribosomal RNA", at positions 509 to 807 of the family's 1533-position model. The record is from RNAcentral.
CAGCAGCCACGGUAAUACGUAGGUGGCAAGCGUUGUCCGGAAUUAUUGGGCGUAAAGAGCUCGCAGGCGGUUUCUUAAGUCUGAUGUGAAAGCCCCCGGCUCAACCGGGGAGGGUCAUUGGAAACUGGGAAACUUGAGUGCAGAAGAGGAGAGUGGAAUUCCACGUGUAGCGGUGAAAUGCGUAGAGAUGUGGAGGAACACCAGUGGCGAAGGCGACUCUCUGGUCUGUAACUGACGCUGAGGAGCGAGAGCGUGGGGAGCGAACAGGAUUAGAUACCCGGGUAGUCCCUGUCUCUUAUAC